RNAcentral lists this ribosomal RNA (371 nucleotides) under uncultured organism. RNAcentral describes it as "bacterial SSU rRNA". It matches the Rfam family "Bacterial small subunit ribosomal RNA", at positions 526 to 896 of the family's 1533-position model. The record is from RNAcentral.
CGUAGGGUGCGAGCGUUAAUCGGAAUUACUGGGCGUAAAGUGUGCGCAGGCGGCUCCGCAAGUCGAGUGUGAAAUCCCCGAGCUUGACUUGGGAAUUGCGCUCGAAACUACGGAACUGGAGUGUGGCAGAGGAAGGUGGAAUUCCACGUGUAGCGGUGAAAUGCGUAGAGAUGUGGAGGAACACCGAUGGCGAAGGCAGCCUUCUGGGCCAACACUGACGCUCAUGCACGAAAGCGUGGGGAGCAAACAGGAUUAGAUACCCUGGUAGUCCACGCCCUAAACGAUGAUGACUAGUUGUUGGAGGAGUUAAAUCCUUUAGUAACGCAGCUAACGCGUGAAGUCAUCCGCCUGGGAGUACGGUCGCAAGAUUA